This 221-nucleotide unclassified non-coding RNA is filed under the name soil metagenome. RNAcentral describes it as "partial contains 5.8S ribosomal RNA, internal transcribed spacer 2, and large subunit ribosomal RNA". The record is from RNAcentral.
AACCUAGCACACCUGCGGUGUGUACCUGCGGAGGGAUCAUUAAUAGGUCUGUCGAAAUUGAUUUUUUAAAAUCAUUUCGACAAUCCUGAUCAUUCCCUAUGUGCACUUUCGAAAAUAAUGCUUUGGUAGACUCACGUCUACCAAAAGUUUUUAACUAUGGCCUUAUUUUCUUGACUGAUGAAAUAAAAUUGAAAUAUAAAACAACUUUUAACAAUGGAUCU